RNAcentral lists this long non-coding RNA (306 nucleotides) under Bos taurus (domestic cattle). RNAcentral's name for it is "long non-coding RNA NONBTAT020399". The record is from RNAcentral. Lineage: Eukaryota; Metazoa; Chordata; Mammalia; Artiodactyla; Bovidae.
GAUGUAUAAAGUCUUUUGAGAGGUGGACUAACAUUUGCCAAGGGUGAGAAGUCCCCAGGGCUGGGGAAGAAGGUUUCUGCUCGGAAGGCUUGGGGGUGGGGAGCCGUCAGGACCAAGUACUCGUGGAGGAAGUCCUAUAGAUGUGAAUGGGUCUCAAGGCUCUCAUUAAACUUAUAGGGGUCCCACCCAACCAGAUUCCAGUAAGCCUGUUUUACGGUGUCUAUUAUGUUAAACGGAAUAGGAUGAAACAUAAGGGUUUGAGACAGCUACAAAAUAAUACUUAAAUGCUGCAGUCAAUAUUGUGGC